This is a long non-coding RNA of Sinocyclocheilus anshuiensis, 526 nucleotides long. RefSeq lists it as uncharacterized. The record is from RefSeq and is a predicted model, not a curated record. NCBI's taxonomy places the organism in Eukaryota, Metazoa, Chordata, Actinopteri, Cypriniformes, Cyprinidae. The transcript is spliced from 4 exons.
AGGAAGUGGGACCAAAGGAACACAUGGCAGACACAAAGCAAUAUGUUAAGACACAAGACAAACAAAGACAACAUAGACAAAGCUGCCCGGUCAGAGCCCUCACACAUGCUGUAUCAGCACAGGAGGUUUUGACCUCCUUCUAGCUCCACCAAGUUCAGCACAACACCUCCCAAACAGGUGUCAGCCUCCCGCGAGAAGCUGAAUCGGACCCCAACCGUCACCCACCGAGCGAAGCUUCACUAUUGAUCUUCACUGUCAGUGAGAGAUAUAAAGCAGGUAUUCGCUAUGAUGGGUGUGGAGGGAUGCCACUCAACAUCACCAUCCAAGACAGCGAUCCCACGGGAAACUGAACACAGAGGCCCAUCCGUCACCCACUGAGGUGCUUCAUCAAACUCUGUGAUGAGUGAAGCUGUGAUGCAAAGACUACCAAUUCUCUGAGAUGUUGGCUUCUGAUAGGAUGUCCUGCUUUUGUAUUAUACAUUUUAUUAUUAGUAAGUCACUGAAGACUAUCGAGUUUGGAGUAUUU